RNAcentral lists this ribosomal RNA (896 nucleotides) under uncultured Stenotrophomonas sp. RNAcentral describes it as "bacterial SSU rRNA". It matches the Rfam family "Bacterial small subunit ribosomal RNA", at positions 33 to 912 of the family's 1533-position model. Lineage: Bacteria; Pseudomonadati; Pseudomonadota; Gammaproteobacteria; Lysobacterales; Lysobacteraceae. The record is from RNAcentral.
AGGCUGGGCGGCAGGCUAACACAUGCAAGUCGAACGGUAGCCCUUAGGAGCUUGCUCCUUGGAUGACGAGAGGGGGACGGGUGAGGAAUGCAUCGGAAUCUACUCUUUCUUGGGGGAUAACGUACGGAAACUUACGCUAAUACCGCAUACUACCUACGGGUGAAAGCAGGGGACCUUUUAGGCCUUGCGCGAUUGAUUGAUGCGAUGUCCGAUUAUCUAGUUGGCGGGGUAAUGGCCCACCAAGGCGACGAUCGUGACCUGGUCUGAUAGGAUGAUCAUCCCCACUGGAGCUGAUACACGGCCCACACUCCUACUGCAGGCAGCAGUGGGGAAUAUUGUACAAUGGGGGCAAGCCUGAUCCACCCAUACCGCGUGGGGGAAGAAGGCCUUCCGGUUGUAAAGCCCUUUUGUUGGGAAAGAAAAGCACCUGGCUAAUACCCGGUUGUUCUGACGGCACCCAGAGAAUAAGCACCGGUUAACUUCGUGCCAGCAGCCGCGGUAAUACGAAGGGUGCAAGCGUUACUCGAAAUUACUGGGCGUAAAGGUGUGCGUAGGUGGUCUGUUUAAGUCUGUCGUGAAAACCCUGGGCUCAACCUGGGAACUGCGAUGGAAACUGAGCGACUAGAGUGUGGUAAAGGGUACCGAAAUUCCUGGUGUAGCAUUGAAAUGCGUAGAUAUCAUGAGGAACAUCCAUGGCGAAGGCAGCUACCUGGGCCUCACUGACACUGAGGCACGAAAGCGUGGGGAGCAAACAGGAUUAUACCCCCUGGUACCCCCCCCCCUAAACGAUGCGAAUCUGGAUGUUGGGUGCACUUUGACACGCACUAUCGAAGCUAUCGCGUAUCUUCCCCGCCUGGACGAGUCCCGGUCGCAAGACUGCAAACUCAAAUGACUUG